RNAcentral lists this unclassified non-coding RNA (384 nucleotides) under Hevea brasiliensis (rubber tree). Lineage: Eukaryota; Viridiplantae; Streptophyta; Magnoliopsida; Malpighiales; Euphorbiaceae. The record is from RNAcentral.
AAAAAUUUGAACAGGCCUCCUAACCUAUAGACAACAUAUCCAAAGCUCAACUGGUCUCUUGGUGUGAAGAGAUGAACUUCAUUGAACCACAAGCAACUAAACAAGUUACUCAGUGCGGUAUGUUCUCGUAUGAUAACAGCUCCUUCUGGAAUAUCACUAGGAGUACUUUUCUUUGGAUUCCAUGGUUCCAUUCCCUCGUAGCGAUAUAUCUUCAUAUGAAGAUCAAUCAACGGACGAGCAUAUCGUUUUCUCCUUUUGUUCGCAUCAGCCUCUUCAUACACAUUACGGUGAUGCUUGUGCUGAGCAAUUGCAAAUGUAUUCUUCUCACGCCACAAGUAUCUUUCAAGUAAUAGCAAUGGGUCAACUAUCAGCUCCAUUUUACCA